GAUGAACGCUGGCGGCGUGCCUAAUACAUGCAAGUCGAGCGAACGGACGAGAAGCUUGCUUCUCUGAUGUUAGCGGCGGACGGGUGAGUAACACGUGGAUAACCUACCUAUAAGACUGGGAUAACUUCGGGAAACCGUAGCUAAUACCGGAUAAUAUUUUGAACCGCAUGGUUCAAAAGUGAAAGACGGUCUUGCUGUCACUUAUAGAUGGAUCCGCGCUGCAUUAGCUAGUUGGUAAGGUAACGGCUUACCAAGGCAACGAUGCAUAGCCGACCUGAGAGGGUGAUCGGCCACACUGGAACUGAGACACGGUCCAGACUCCUACGGGAGGCAGCAGUAGGGAAUCUUCCGCAAUGGGCGAAAGCCUGACGGAGCAACGCCGCGUGAGUGAUGAAGGUCUUCGGAUCGUAAAACUCUGUUAUUAGGGAAGAACAUAUGUGUAAGUAACUGUGCACAUCUUGACGGUACCUGAUCAGAAAGCCACGGCUAACUGCGUG
This 497-nucleotide ribosomal RNA is filed under the name uncultured bacterium. RNAcentral's name for it is "partial 16S ribosomal RNA". It matches the Rfam family "Bacterial small subunit ribosomal RNA", at positions 28 to 507 of the family's 1533-position model. The record is from RNAcentral.